GGAUGCGAUCAUACCAGCACUAAAGCACCGGAUCCCAUCUGAACACCGAAGUUAAGCGUGCUUGGGCGAGAGUAGUACUGGGAUGGGUGACCUCCUGGGAAGUCCUCGUGUUGCGUUCC
This 119-nucleotide ribosomal RNA is filed under the name Triticum aestivum (bread wheat). The record is from RNAcentral. Lineage: Eukaryota; Viridiplantae; Streptophyta; Magnoliopsida; Poales; Poaceae.